Tympanuchus pallidicinctus (lesser prairie-chicken) is the source of this 325-nucleotide long non-coding RNA. RefSeq lists it as uncharacterized. The transcript has 2 exons. The record is from RefSeq and is a predicted model, not a curated record. Lineage: Eukaryota; Metazoa; Chordata; Aves; Galliformes; Phasianidae.
CUCAGUUUCUCAAUGAAGUUGUACGAAAUCCACAGCUCUUCUAGCGUAUCUCCAACUGCUUCCUGGAAAAUGACAGAGCUACUCAGGAUCUUCCUCUAGCUGAUGCUCAGAAGCUACGACUCCUAGAGUGGCUCUUCAUUUUAUUUUGGGGAACUCGGAAGCAUUUUCAGAAGUAAUAAGCUGGACUUCUGAGAGCACAUUAUUCUACUGACUUUAUUCUCUUGCCAUCUUGGAGCAUAAUCUGGGCACUGUCACCUCUGACAGUGAAAUUCAACUGAAUUCAAGGCCAUUAGAAAUUACUGCACUGAAAAAUGUGGUCUAACAC